CCUACGGGAGGCAGCAGUGAGGAAUAUUGCUCAAUGGGGGAAACCCUGAAGCAGCAACGCCGCGUGGAGGAUGAAGGUUUUCGGAUUGUAAACUCCUUUUGUUAGAGAAGAUAAUGACGGUAUCUAACGAAUAAGCACCGGCUAACUCCGUGCCAGCAGCCGCGGUAAUACGGAGGGUGCAAGCGUUACUCGGAAUCACUGGGCGUAAAGGGCGCGUAGGCGGGAUAGCAAGUCAGAUGUGAAAUCCUAUGGCUUAACCAUAGAACUGCAUUUGAAACUGUUAUUCUAGAGUAUGGGAGAGGUAGGUGGAAUUCUUGGUGUAGGGGUAAAAUCCGUAGAGAUCAAGAGGAAUACUCAUGGCGAAGGCGACCUGCUAGAACAUAACUGACGCUGAUGCGCGAAAGCGUGGGGAGCAAACAGGAUUAGAUACCCGGGUAGUC
This 440-nucleotide ribosomal RNA is filed under the name uncultured bacterium. RNAcentral's name for it is "partial 16S ribosomal RNA". It matches the Rfam family "Bacterial small subunit ribosomal RNA", at positions 338 to 795 of the family's 1533-position model. The record is from RNAcentral.